UGUUUUUCNGAAACCUACAUGGCUACUGGA
RNAcentral lists this non-coding RNA (30 nucleotides) under Mus musculus (house mouse). Lineage: Eukaryota; Metazoa; Chordata; Mammalia; Rodentia; Muridae. The record is from RNAcentral.